GAACACCAGUGGCGAAGGCGACUUUCUGGACUGUAACUGACGCUGAGGUACGAAAGCGUGGGUAGCGAACAGGAUUAGAUACCCUGGUAGUCCACGCCGUAAACGAUGGAUACUAGGUGUAGGGGGUAUCGACCCCCCUGUGCCGGAGUUAACGCAAUAAGUAUCCCGCCUGGGGAGUACGGUCGCAAGACUGAAACUCAAAGGAAUUGACGGGGGCCCGCACAAGCAGCGGAGCAUGUGGUUUAAUUCGAAGCAACGCGAAGAACCUUACCAGGGCUUGACAUCCUGAUGACCGGUACAGAGAUGUACCUUCCCUUCGGGGCAUUGGAGACAGGUGGUGCAUGGUUGUCGUCAGCUCGUGUCGUGAGAUGUUGGGUUAAGUCCCGCAACGAGCGCAACCCCUAUCCUUAGUUGCCAUCAGUUAAAGCUGGGCACUCUAAAGAGACUGCCGGGGAUAACUCGGAGGAAGGUGGGGAUGACGUCAAAUCAUCAUGCCCCUUAUGUCCUGGGCUACACACGUGCUACAAUGGCCUGUAACAGAGGGAAGCGAAGCCGUAAGGCGGAGCAAAACUCAGAAACCAGGUCCCAGUUCGGAUUGUGGGCUGCAACUCGCCCACAUGAAGUUG
RNAcentral lists this ribosomal RNA (626 nucleotides) under uncultured bacterium. Its description in RNAcentral is "bacterial SSU rRNA". It matches the Rfam family "Bacterial small subunit ribosomal RNA", at positions 704 to 1328 of the family's 1533-position model. The record is from RNAcentral.